GCGGGAGUAGCUCAGCGGUAGAGCAUCGCCUUGCCAAGGCGAGGGUCGCGGGUUCGAAUCCCGUCUCCCGCUCCA
This 75-nucleotide transfer RNA is filed under the name Peptococcaceae bacterium SCADC1_2_3. RNAcentral's name for it is "tRNA-Gly". It matches the Rfam family "tRNA". From Rfam's summary of the family: Transfer RNA (tRNA) molecules are approximately 80 nucleotides in length. Lineage: Bacteria; Bacillati; Bacillota; Clostridia; Eubacteriales; Peptococcaceae. The record is from RNAcentral.